AUUGAACGCUGGCGGCAUGCCUUACACAUGCAAGUCGAACGGCAGCACGGGUGCUUGCACCUGGUGGCGAGUGGCGCACGGGUGAGUAAUACAUCGGAACAUGUCCUCUAGUGGGGGAUAGCACGGCGAAAGCCGGAUUAAUACCGCAUACGAUCUACGGAUGAAAGCGGGGGACCUUCGGACCUCGCGCUAUAGGGUUGGCCGAUGGCUGAUUAGCUAGUUGGUGGGGUAAAGGCCUACCAAGGCGACGAUCAGUAGCUGGUCUGAGAGGACGACCAGCCACACUGGAACUGAGACACGGCCCAGACUCCUACGGGAGGCAGCAGUGGGGAAUUUUGGACAAUGGGCGAAAGCCUGAUCCAGCAAUGCCGCGUGUGUGAAGAAGGCCUUCGGGUUGUAAAGCACUUUUGUCCGGAAAGAAAUCCUUGGCCCUAAUACGGUCGGGGGAUGACGGUACCGGAAGAAUAAGCACCGGCUAACUACGUG
This 486-nucleotide ribosomal RNA is filed under the name uncultured bacterium. RNAcentral describes it as "partial 16S ribosomal RNA". It matches the Rfam family "Bacterial small subunit ribosomal RNA", at positions 30 to 507 of the family's 1533-position model. The record is from RNAcentral.